UUGAUUUUAGUUAUUUGUGAACGUACUACGAACAAACAAAAAAAAUAUUAUAGUCAAAAAAAAUUAAAUCAAAACUUUUAACAAUGGAUCUCUUGGUUCUCGUAUCGAUGAAGAACGCAGCGAAAUGCGAUAAGUAAUUUGAAUUGCAGAAUUCAGUGAAUCAUCGAAUCUUUGAACGCACAUUGCGCCCAUUAGUAUUCUAGUGGGCAUGCCUGUCCGAGCGUCAUUUCAACCCCUAAGCACAGCUUAUUGUUGGGAACCUACGGCUUCGUAGUUCCUCAAAGACAUUGGCGGAGUGGCAGUGGUCCUCUGAGCGUAGUAAUCUUUUAUCUCGCUUCUGUUAGGUGCUGCCCCCCCGGCCGUAAAACCCCCAAUUUUUUCUGGUUGACCUCGGAUCAGGUAGGAAUACCCGCUGAACUUAAGCAUAUCAAUAAGCGGAGGAAUCGUACGCUUGGUCAUUUAGAGGAAGUAAAAGUCGUAACAAGGUUUCCGUAGGUGAACCUGCGGAAGGAUCAUUAAAAGAUAUAGCAUAUUCUUCUGAAUAUACUUUAUUAACCCAUUCCGAGUACCUUACCCGUUGCUUCCGCGAGGCUGUCCUCACGGCCCUCUGAAGAUUUAUCUUUGGGGAGUCCUUGCGGAAGGUAUACAAUAAACUCUUGCAUUACCAUGUCAUCUGUCUGAAUCUGUUUAAAACAAAUAUUA
This 702-nucleotide unclassified non-coding RNA is filed under the name soil metagenome. RNAcentral describes it as "partial contains internal transcribed spacer 1, 5.8S ribosomal RNA, and internal transcribed spacer 2". The stretch from base 73 to 226 matches the Rfam family "5.8S ribosomal RNA". The record is from RNAcentral.